Molecule: RNA transcript, 6534 nt
Organism: Phacochoerus africanus (Common warthog)
Lineage: Eukaryota; Metazoa; Chordata; Mammalia; Artiodactyla; Suidae
Gene: FZD9
Gene name: frizzled class receptor 9
Exons: 4
Source: RefSeq, a predicted model, not a curated record
AGACCAGUCCUUGACAAUCCCCAUCAAGGGACAGUGAAGCAGAACCGGGCUCGAGCUAUGGAGGUGGGCCCAUUCCCCAAGCCCUGCCCCGUGCAUGGUCGAGCGUGUGCACACGUAGGAAUUGACAGGGCCCGGUAUGUCCUUAUGUGUCUGCACACUUAACUCACCUCCAGACCCACACACACAGUGCACACGCUUGCUGGUGCCCACUGCCAUGUGCCCAAGCUGCAGUGUCACUCCACACACAUCCCGCCCAGGAACAGGUGUGUCAGUCUUGUACCUGCUGGGUCCUUCAUCACCACCGACAGCCCCUCCUGAGGGGUGUCCUGGGCACCUGGAGGAGGCACAGGACAGUCUUCCUCCUGGUCCCUGAUUACUCACAUGGACACCUUUGUCCUCCAGGGUCCCAUCAGUACGCCUUCCUCCACCUCAGGUCCCACUUGCAUUCAGCCUCUUCCAGAAGAAUCUAUGGCUACCUCCUCAUUAUGACAUUCUUUUCAUCAACAAAUAUUUAUAGGAGCCUCUUUCAGGCCAGGCACCAAGGCACAUAGACGCAUGGCCUGACCCAGGACCUCCAGAAACUCCUAGGCUUGUGGGGAGACAGACAUAGUUAUGGUAGCUGCAGGGUACAGAGAAGGCACAGGGCCAACAGACAGGAGGUCUUCCAGGAGGAGGCAGUGCCAGGGCCACGUUGGGGAAGGGGCAGCAUGUGUCCACUGAGGGUGAGUAGUGGCUACGGUCACGGAGACCGUGCUAAGACGGGCCUCCGGCAGCGUGGAAGGCCCAGAGGGCGUCCCUUCCCACUUGUGCAGGGGAAUUUAUUUCUCCCAGGAGGAGGUAGGAGGGGUUCGGUCCCACCUCGCCUAACUCCGGCCCCCACUGCCCAGCGAAUUGGAGUGGGGGUGGGCAUGGAUGGUAAUCUCCCUUUUCCUCGGGUCCUUCUCAUAGUCUCCUUUUCAGUGAGUGCCUUGGGGUAUUGUUCCGCCUUUGUAAAGAGAGGGAUCGAGUGACAAAGCAGGGUGGGUGGGCAGGCCGCCCCUGAGGCCUCUUCUCUCCCAGGCAGCAUCUGCAUGGAGGAGGGGCUGUUCCACACCCCCACCUCUGGCUUCCCAGGAGCAGCUGUUGUCAUGGUGACAGGCCUGGCAUCCCAUGGCUCCUGGGGCUUCAUUCCCACUACAGCUGCCAGAGGAAGGGCCCCCUGGACUCCUCUCCACUCUGGUGGGGGGGUGGGGGCACUAAAACCCUGGCUCCUAGGCCAGCCCUGGCAAUGGGAAGGCUCCUGCAUUCUCAGCCUCCCAGUUGGGCCUCCAGCACAGGGAGCAGCUCUGGAGCCCCCAGACUGUGAUGUGGGGGCUCAGGCCACACUCCACUACCAUCCAUGGGGCAAGAUGCAGCAAGAAUAAAAAUGUCCCCAGGGUCCUUGAGCAGCUGCUGGCGUUGGGGCAGAGGGAGGGGACAGAGAGAAGGCUAACAGUACCGAGUGUACAAAGGAGGGGACAGUGGAUGGGCAAGGACUCUGGGCCCACACAGCAGCACUUCCAGCCCCAGCCAGUUGAGCUGGGGGACUGCCCCCUAAGAGGGGACACUGGAAGUGGUGUGUCCCACAGAGCAGAAGGGCCUUCUGGGCUGGGGAGGCUGGAGGCGUGACGUGGCGUGGCGUGGGUUUACAAAGAGUUGGCAGACACUGUUUCUGUGCUACCUCUCUGGAAAGUUCAGGCUCAGGCGGGCCGAGUGUGUUUUUCAUGCUGGGCACAGGGCUGGCUGCAUCUGCAUGGAGUCCCGGCCUCUAGGGUCCCCUUAGAGAGUGAGAGGCUGGGGCGCUGCUGCACCGAGCAUCUCCUCUUGCUUCUGCUCUCCCCGCUCCAGCACAGCUCCGAGAGGAGGGGAGCUCUCAUUACACUCACUGCCCUGAUUCCUUGCUGAGCCCCAUCCCAUACCGGGCGCUACUCCAGGGCCAGCUGUGGUGACAGGCAGCCUCAUGGAGAGGAAGAGCCUGAAUGCCAGUCCUGACCCUGGUGAGCUGUAAUCCCAGGCACAUACCUUGAGUUUUCUGAGUCUCAGUCUCUCAUUUAUAAAAUGGUCAGAGAAUUCCUCGCAGGGCUGUUAAGAGAGUUAAAAAGGUCACAGUGUGCCAUGUAAGGUGAGCCCUCUUGACUUACCCUAUGUCCUCAACCAGUCUUCUAGCCCCCUGGCAGUGCAGGUCACUCCCCAGGUCCUUCAUCCACUAAACAUCCCUGAGCAGCUGCGAGGGCUGGACCUACGCUGAGUGUGCACGUGGAAUCUGAGUCCGAGUCUUCCAGCAGGCUGAGCCGUACCCCUAGGACUGGUUCCAUCUGUACAAAAAGGAGGACAGUCCUCCCCGCUCCCUGCGGUCUAGGUGCUGCCCAUGCCGUGGAAGCAGGGGUGAUGUCUCUGCGGAAGCCCACCUGGGACAGGGAGAAGGUGCCAUUCCUGGAUUGUGGAGAAGUGUGCAGCGUGCCGGGUAAGCAGCACAUGAACAGCAAAUGAAUUGUUCAUUUUACAGGAUUAGCUGCCUGUUUUACCCGAUAGGAAACUGAGGCUCAGCACAAAGAGCCCAAAGUCACAUACAGCUGCUGAAGAGGCAGAGGCUGCGCUUAUGUUGUCCCAUAGUCUAUGGUCAAGGGGUCCCACAUGGCAGGGGGUGGGGGGACCCGAAACAGGGGCAGGGAACUCUACGGGCUGACUGGUAAGGUGUGGGGAGAGGUUGGACAGCAACAGAAAGGGAAGAAUCGAGUUUGAGGUGUGAGCUGGCAGACGAGGUUACUCUUAGACCCAGCUCCACUGGCCCACACCCUGGUGGUGCCCCAGCACAGCUGUGAGGCGCGGCGCCUUUAAAGCCUAGCUGGGGGUGUGUCCGGCGCAUGGAGGGCCCGCCCCUGGGCGUGUCCGUCGGGCGCCCCACCCAGAGGCUUGUAGCCGCGGCCCCGGGAGGCGGCGCCCGCUCUGGCUCAGCGGCCGCUGGAGUGGCGGUGGCGGCGGCGGUGGUGGCUCGUCACCUCCUCUCUUUUGGGUGGCUUCCCCGCGCGCUGCCCUGGGUGCCUGGCGACACCUGGACACAGGCGGCCAGCUGGGCUAUGGCCCCUGUUCCACACCGUGGCGGGUGGGCACGGGGGCGCCGGACGGCGCGGCCCGAGUGAGGCGGGGCCGCCCUCCCGCCCUCGACCGGGGCCACCCGGGAUGGCCGUGCCGCCGCUCCGCCGGGCGCUGCUGCUGUGGCAGCUGCUGGCGGCAGCGGGCGGCGCAGCGCUGGAGAUCGGCCGCUUCGACCCAGAGCGCGGGCGCGGUCCCGCGCCGUGCCAGGCGGUGGAGAUUCCCAUGUGCCGCGGCAUCGGCUACAACCUGACCCGCAUGCCCAACCUGCUGGGCCACACGUCGCAGGGCGAGGCGGCCGCCGAGCUGGCCGAGUUCGCGCCGCUUGUACAGUACGGCUGCCACAGCCACCUGCGCUUCUUCCUGUGCUCGCUCUACGCGCCCAUGUGCACAGACCAGGUCUCGACGCCUAUCCCCGCCUGCCGGCCCAUGUGCGAGCAGGCGCGCCAGCGCUGCGCGCCUAUCAUGGAGCAGUUCAACUUUGGCUGGCCAGACUCUCUUGACUGUGCCCGGCUGCCCACCCGCAACGACCCGCACGCCCUCUGCAUGGAGGCGCCUGAGAAUGCCACGGCCGGCCCCGCCGAGCCCCACAAGGGGCUGGGCAUGUUGCCCGUGGCACCACGACCCGCGCGGCCCCCCGGAGAUGCUGCCCCGGGCCCUGGUGGUGGCACCUGUGAGAACCCGGAGAAGUUCCAGUAUGUGGAGAAAAGCCGCUCAUGCGCGCCGCGCUGCGGGCCUGGCAUCGAGGUGUUCUGGUCACGGCGCGACAAGGACUUCGCGCUCGUCUGGAUGGCAGUGUGGUCGGCCUUGUGCUUCUUCUCCACUGCCUUCACUGUGCUCACCUUUCUGCUGGAGCCUCACCGCUUCCAGUACCCGGAGCGCCCCAUCAUCUUCCUCUCCAUGUGCUACAACGUCUACUCGCUAGCCUUCCUCAUCCGGGCGGUGGCCGGGGCCCAGAGCGUGGCCUGCGACCAGGAGGCAGGUGCCCUCUACGUGAUCCAGGAGGGCCUGGAGAACACCGGCUGCACCCUCGUCUUCCUGCUGCUCUACUACUUUGGCAUGGCCAGUUCACUGUGGUGGGUGGUGCUGACUCUCACCUGGUUCCUGGCGGCCAGCAAGAAAUGGGGCCACGAGGCCAUCGAGGCGCAUGGCAGCUACUUCCACAUGGUGGCCUGGGGCCUGCCUGCGCUCAAGACCAUUGUUAUCCUGACCCUGCGCAAGGUGGCAGGGGAUGAGCUGACUGGGCUCUGUUACGUGGCCAACAUGGAUGCAGCCGCGCUCACAGGCUUCGUGCUGGUGCCCCUCUCCUGCUAUCUGGUACUGGGCACCAGCUUCCUCCUGACCGGCUUCGUGGCCCUCUUCCACAUCCGCAAGAUCAUGAAGACCGGGGGCACCAACACAGAGAAGCUGGAGAAGCUCAUGGUGAAGAUCGGGGUCUUCUCCAUCCUCUACACAGUGCCCGCCACCUGCGUCAUUGUGUGCUACGUCUAUGAACGGCUCAACAUGGACUUCUGGCGCCUGCAGGCCACAGAGCAGCCCUGCUCAGCAGCCACCAUGCCCGGGGGUCGGAGGGACUGCUCGCUGCAGGAUGGCUCGGUGCCCACUGUGGCUGUCUUUAUGCUCAAAAUCUUCAUGUCACUGGUGGUGGGCAUCACCAGCGGCGUCUGGGUAUGGAGCUCCAAGACUUUCCAGACCUGGCAGAGUCUGUGCCACCGCAAGAUGGCAGCUGGCAGGGCCCGGGCAAAGGCCUGCCGGGCCUCCGGGGGCUAUGGCCGUGGCACCCACUGCCACUAUAAGGCCCCCACUGUGGUCUUGCACAUGACUAAGACGGACCCUUCUCUGGAGAACCCCACACACCUCUAGGGACACAGGCCUGCGUGGGGCGGCUGUUGCCCCCUCCUAGCCCCCCUCCGGAGGAGACAGCUGACUAGCAGCUGCCCAGCUGUCAAGGUCAAGCAAAAAAGGGAAGUGUUGGAAGGGUUGGCUGGCUCCAGAUCACACAACCCAGGGAGACUAUGGCCUCCAGAGCUUCUGUGACGUCACCACACCACGGAUUCGCCGGGGCCUGGGGUGAGAUGGGCACGGUGGGUGUUACGAUCUAGGGCGUUCUGUCCUGUCCCCCAGUGGGACCUCUCCCCACCCACCAACAGGGAGCCCAGAGCCCAGUACAGACGCCUCCAAAGCCAGCCCCCGCUGACCUCUGCACUGUGUGCCCCGGGAGCCCAGCACAGGGCCCUCAGAGCAGCGCACUGAGCUGGGGUCCAGCAGCCAAGCCCGUCCGCGAGUGCCGAGCCUGAGCUUGUUCUAGGGGGAACUUCUGAACCGUGACCCUUGAGUCUCAUUUCUAGGGAAAAAAUUGAAAGUUCGGAGUCAGCAAGGGUGACCCUGACUGAGGCCAGAUUGAGAGGCGCUGGGGGGUCAAGUAGCUGCCCACACGCCCCACUCUCGGUCCCACCCUGCAGGACCUCCAGGAUGGUCGUAGGUGGGAAGAGGCCUGGAGGCCCCGGGUGGUCAUGAAGAGCAGCCUCCUCUUUCCCCUGGUUGAGAGCCUCACUCGGUGCCCGCCUGAGGGGACCCUGGCUCUCGGGCGAGGUGGAGACAUGGUUCCCGUGUGGAAGCAGCACUGCCUGAGCAGCUGCUUUGGAAUCCAGUCACCACCUCAUGGCCACCUGACUGUGCCCUCUCCCCAGGGCCGGGUUCGAGGAGGAGGAAGAGUAAGGCAGGAUGAGGGCGAGGUCUCCGGUGACUGUCAGGGUAAAGGCUCAGAUCCUUGUCCUCAAGAAGAAAGUCCCUGUCUCCGUAUGCAGCAGUCAACCAAAAUUUGGUGUCUCCCCAAGGUCACACCUUGCUAGGGAGGAAUGGGCUGGGAUGGUUUAAUAGGACCAGAUACAGACCCUAGGUGAGGUGACAAGGCCCCGAGGGCACUCUCCUCAUGUUGCCUAAGAAACUCACCCUAGGAACUGGACUUAGCAGAAGUGGGUGGGCUGGGAGCCCCAAGUUCAACCAUGAUUGUGUAGAAAACGCUCAGCAGUAGCCCUCUGGAGCUUGAGGGCAGGUCACGUUCAACUUGACCUUGGGGCAAACCACUUUCUCGCCUGCAGAACUGAAAACCCCUGAGUGCUCGGGCACAGAGCUGGCUUGAAGCCCAGGCUCACCAAGGCCACAGUGGGAGUCAGUGGCAAAACCCGCACCCAGGGCUUAGGUUUCUCCUCAGAUUUCUUCCCAUUUUCCCUGUGCCAUCCUGAUGCAGCUGGUCAGGAAUGGGCGGUGUCACUUCUCAGUAAACGGGAUCAGACAGGGGGCUCUGCAAAACCACGGAACUCCACAGGCAGGUCGCCACCCCAGCAGUGACCUCCUCAAAACAACCACUCUGACUUUAUAAAACCUCCCAGCAUAAAAAAUAAAUGAAGGCAAUGAACAUUG